UACGAACCGGACGAACGUUAUUCGGAAUCACUGGGCUUAAAGGGUGCGUAGGCGGCCGCAUAAGUCGGGUGUGAAAUCCCUCGGCUCAACCGAGGAAUUGCGCCUGAUACUGCGCGGCUAGAGGGAGACAGAGGCGAGCGGAACUGAUGGUGGAGCGGUGAAAUGCGUUGAUAUCAUCAGGAACACCGGUGGCGAAGGCGGCUCGCUGGGUCUCUUCUGACGCUCAGGCACGAAAGCUAGGGUAGCGAACAGG
This 253-nucleotide ribosomal RNA is filed under the name uncultured bacterium. Its description in RNAcentral is "partial 16S ribosomal RNA". It matches the Rfam family "Bacterial small subunit ribosomal RNA", at positions 524 to 776 of the family's 1533-position model. The record is from RNAcentral.